Molecule: ribosomal RNA, 377 nt
Filed under: uncultured bacterium
Lineage: Bacteria
Description: partial 16S ribosomal RNA
Rfam family: Bacterial small subunit ribosomal RNA
Source: RNAcentral
CCUACGGGAGGCAGCAGUGGGGGAUAUUGCACAAUGGGGGGAACCCUGAUGCAGCGACGCCGCGUGGGUGAAGAAGCGCCUCGGCGCGUAAAGCCCUGUCAGCAGGGAAGAAAAUGACGGUACCUGAAGAAGAAGCCCCGGCUAACUACGUGCCAGCAGCCGCGGUAAGACGUAGGGGGCAAGCGGUAUCCGGAAGUACUGGGGGGAAAGGGGGCGCAGACGGGGAUGCGAGCCAGGGGGGAAAGCCCGGGGGCCAACCCCGGGACUGCGGUUGGAACUGCGUGGCUGGAGUGGAGGAGGGGCAGGCGGAAUUCCUGGUGUAGCGGUGAAAUGCGGAGAUAUCAGGAAGAACACCGGUGGCGAAGGCGGCCUGCUGG